UAGGGAAUAUUAGAAAUGGACGAAAGUCUGAUCUAGCAACACCGCGUGUGCGAUGAAGGCCUUCGGGUCGUAAAGCACUUUUUGGAAGGAAUAGGAAGGAAUGUACUUCCAGAAUAAGUCUCGGCUAACUACGUGCCAGCAGCCGCGGUAACACGUAGGAGGCAAACGUUAUCCGGAUUUACUGGGCGUAAAGCGCGUGUAGGUGGUACUGUAAGUAGGGCGGGAAAGCUCCUGGCUCAACUGGGAGAGGCCGUUCUAAACUACAGAACUAGAGGAUGGUAGAGGGAUGUGGAAUUCCAGGUGUAGCGGUGGAAUGCGCAGAUAUCUGGAGGAACACCGGUGGCGAAGGCGGCCUCCUGGACCAUUCCUGACACUCAGACACGAAAGCUAGGGUAGCAAACG
RNAcentral lists this ribosomal RNA (402 nucleotides) under uncultured prokaryote. RNAcentral's name for it is "bacterial SSU rRNA". It matches the Rfam family "Bacterial small subunit ribosomal RNA", at positions 355 to 774 of the family's 1533-position model. The record is from RNAcentral.